UACGUAGGGGGCAAGCGUUGUCCGGAUUUAUUGGGCGUAAAGCGCACGUAGGCGGAUUGCUAAGUCAGGGGUGAAAAUCCUGGGAGCUCAACUCCAGAACUGCCCUUGAUACUGGCGGUCUCGAGUCCGGGAGAGGUGAGUGGAACUGCGAGUGUAGAGGUGAAAUUCGUAGAUAUUCGCAAGAACACCAGUGGCGAAGGCGGCUCACUGGCCCGGUACUGACGCUGAGGUGCGAAAGCGUGGGGAGCAAACAGG
Molecule: ribosomal RNA, 255 nt
Filed under: uncultured bacterium
Lineage: Bacteria
Description: partial 16S ribosomal RNA
Rfam family: Bacterial small subunit ribosomal RNA
Source: RNAcentral